RNAcentral lists this ribosomal RNA (253 nucleotides) under uncultured bacterium. Its description in RNAcentral is "partial 16S ribosomal RNA". It matches the Rfam family "Bacterial small subunit ribosomal RNA", at positions 524 to 776 of the family's 1533-position model. The record is from RNAcentral.
UACGUAGGUGACCAGCGUUGUCCGGAUUUACUGGGCGUAAAGGGCGCGUAGGCGGUUCGUUAAGUCCUGUGUGAAAUCCCCCGGCUCAACUGGGGAACUGCACAGGAAACUAGCGGGCUUGAGUUCGGGAGAGGGAAGCGGAAUUCCGGGUGUAGCGGUGAAAUGCGUAGAUAUCCGGAGGAACACCGGUGGCGAAGGCGGCUUCCUGGACCGACACUGACGCUGAGGCGCGAAAGCUAGGGGAGCAAACGGG